Callithrix jacchus (white-tufted-ear marmoset) is the source of this 4976-nucleotide long non-coding RNA. Lineage: Eukaryota; Metazoa; Chordata; Mammalia; Primates; Cebidae. The record is from Ensembl.
AUCUGGUUGUUUAAAAGUGAGUGGCACCUCCUCCCUCUGUCUUGCUUCUGCUUAUGCCAACUGAUGUGCCUGCUCCUGCUUCAUCUUCCACCAUGAGUAAAAGCCUCCUGAGGCCUCACCAGAAGCUUAGCAGAUGCAGGUGCCAUAAUUCCUGUGUAGCCUGCAGAACUGCUUGUGGAUUUGGGAAGAAGUGGUUCAGUCCACCAUCUUGUUUUCCUCCUACCUAAUUUAAAUCGAUGACAUGAAAGCCAUCAUAGAGAUGUUUUGUGAGAAUCAAAAGAAAAAUCAUCAGAGAAUUAUCCAAUCCUGUGAAUUACGGAAAUAAGAUUUCCUCUUUCAUUCUGACUAUGUGGUUUCCAAAAAUAACACACCAAUUUAACAAGUAUUUGUUGCGAGUAUUCUAUAUGCCAGACAUGAUCAUAGGUUUUGAUGAUACAGUGAUGAACAAAACAACCUCAGCCUUGCAGAACCCUUUGUGUGAUCUAGGAGUUUGAGAAAAGAGUAAGAACUUUCUACCAUUCAGUGUCUUAUUACUAAUACCGACCAUUUGCAUGGAAAUUUGCAAAGUGUGUGUGUGUGUGUGUGUGUGUGUGUGUUUUUAGACAGAGCUCAUUCAGUCACCCAGGCUGGAGUGCAAUGGUGCGAUCUCAGCUCACUGCAACCUCCACCUUCCAGGUUCAAAUGACUCUCCUGCCUCAGCCUCUGGAGUAGCUGGAAUUACAGGUGCACACCACACACACCUAGCUAAUUUUUGUAUUUUUAGUAGAGAUGGGGCUUCACCUUGUUGGCCAGGCUGGUCUCAAAUGCCUGACCUCAGGUGAUCCACCCACCUCGGCCUCCCAAAGUGCUGGGAUUACAGGUGUGAGCCACCAUGCCCUGCUGCAAAGUGCUUUUAAAUACAGAAGUCAUUUUGGUUGAUUGGGCUGGUUUCAUGAUUUUGCAAUUGUGAAUUGUGCUGCUAUAAACAUGCAUGUGCAAGUAUCAUUUUUGUAUAAUGACUUCUUUUCCUCUGGGUAGAUACCCAGUAUUGGGAUUGCUGGAUCAAAUGGUAGUUCUACUUUGGGUUCUUUAAAAAAUCUCCACACUGGUUUCUAUAGUGGUUGUACUUGUUUAUAUUCCCACUGAGGAGUGUAGAAGUGUUUUCUGAUCACCACACCUAUGCCAACAUAUACUGUUUUUUGAUUUUUUGAUUGUGGCCAUUCUUGCAGGUGUAAGGUGAUAUGGUAUUGCGGUUUUAAUCUGCAUUUCUCUGAUCAUUAGUGAUAUUGAGCAUUUUUUUCAUGUGUUUGUUGGUCAUUUGUAUAUCUUCCUUUGAGAAUUGUCUAUUCAUGUCCUUAUCCCAUUUUCUGAUGGGAUUGUUUUUUUCUUGCUGAUUUGUUUGAGUUCAUUGUAGAUUUUGGAUAUCAGUCUUCUGUCAGAUGUAUAGAUUGUGAGGAUUUUCUCUCACUCUGUGGGUUGUCUUUUUACUCUGCUGCCUGUUCCUUUUGCAGUGCAAAUGCUUUUUAGUUUAAUUAGGUCCCAUUUGUCUUUGUUUUUAUAGCAUUUCCCUUUGGGUUCUUGGUCAUGAAAUCCUUGCCUAAGCCAAUGUCUAGAAGGGUUUUUCCAAUGUUAUCUUCUAGAAUUUUUAUAGUUUCAGGUAUGAAAGUCCUUAAUUCAUCUUGAGUUGACUUUUGUAUAAGGUGAGAAAUGAGGAUCCAGUUUCAUUCUCCUGCUUGUGACUAGCCAAUUAUCCCAGCACCAUUUGUUGAAAAGGGGGUGUCCUUUUCCCACUUUAUGUUUUUGUUUGCUUUGUUAAAGAUCAGUUGACUGUAAGUAUUUGGAUUUAUUUCUGGGUUCUCUAUCAGUUGACUGUAAGUAUUUGGGUUGAUUUCUGGGUUCUCUAUUCUGUUCCAUUGGUCUAUGUGCCUAUUUUUAUACCCUGCUGUUUUGGUGAUUAUGGCCUUAUAGUAUAGUUUGAAAUCUGGUAGUGUGAUGCCUCCAGACUUGUUCUUUUUGCUUAGUCUUGCUUUGGCUAUGGAGGCUUUUUUUUGGGUUCCAUAUGAAUUUUAGAAUUGCUUUUUUCAAAUUCUGUGAAGAAUGAUGGUGGUAUUUUAAUAGGGAUUGCAUUGAAUUUGUAGAUAGCUUUUGGUAGUAUGGUAAUUUUCACAAUAUUGGAUCUACUCAUGCAUGAGCAUGGGAUGUGUUUCUGUUUGCUUGUGUCAUCUAAGAUUUCUUUCAGCAGUGUUUUGUGGUUUUCCUUGUAGAGAUCUUUUACCUUCUUGGUUAGGAUAUUCCUAAGUAGUUUAUUUUAUUUUUUGCAGCUAUUGUAAAAGAGGGUGAGUUCUUGAUUUGAUUCUCGGCUUGGUCACUGUUGGUGCAUAGAAGAGCUACUGAUUUAUGUACAUGAAUCUUGUACCUGGAAACUGCUGAAUUCUUUUAUCAGUUCUAGAUUUCUGGAGGAUUCUUUAGGGCUUUUGAAGUAAAUAAUCAUAUUGUCAGCAAACAGUGGCAAUUUCACUUCCUCCUUACUGAUUUAGAUGCCCUUUAUGUUUUUUCUCUUUUCUGUUUGCUCUGGCUAGGACUUCCAUUACCAUGUUGAAGAGAAGUAGUGAAAAUGUAUUAUAUUGGCUGUGGGUUUGUCAUAGAUGGCUCUUAUUACAUUGAGAUAUGUCCCUUGUAUGAUGAUUUUGAUGAGAAUUUUAAUCAUAAAGGGAUAGUGGAUUUUGUCAAAUGCUUUUUCUGCAUCUAUUGAGAUGAGUAUGUGAUUUUUGUUUUUAAUUCUGUUUAUGUGGUGUAUGACAUUUAUUGAUUAAUGUAUGUUAAACCAUUCCUGCAUCCCUGGUAUAAAACCCACUUGAUCCUGGUGAAUUAUCUUUUGAUAUGUUGUUGGAUUCAGUUAGCUAGUAUUUUGUUAAGGAUUUUAGCAUCUAUGUUCAUCAGGGAUAUUGGUCUGUAGUUUCUUUUUUUUGAUUAUUUCCUUUCCUGGUUUUGGUAUUAAAGUGAUGCUAGCUUCAUGGAAUGAAUUAGGGAUGAUUCCUUCUUUCUCUAUCUUGUGGAAUAGUGUCAAUAGGAUUGCACCAAUUCUUCUUUGAAUGUCUGGUAAAAUUCUGCUGUGAAUCUGUUUGGGUCCUGGACUUGUUUUUGUUGGUAAUUUUAAAUGACCAUUUCAAUCUUGCUGCUUGUUAUUGGUCUGUUUGGGAUAUCUAAUUCUUCCUGAUUUAAGCUAGGGUGGUUUUACACUUUCAGGAAUUUAUUUAUCUCUUCUAGGUUUUCUAGUUUAUGUGCGUAAAUGUGUUCAUAGUAGCCUUGAAUGACCUUUUGAAUUUCUGUGGUGUCAGUUGUAAUACAUUCUGUUUCAUUUCUUAUUGAAUUUGAAGGUUAUUUGGAAUUUCUCUCUUAUUUUCUUGGUUAAUCUUGCUAAUGGUCUAUCAGUUUUAUUUGUCUUCUCAAAUAACCAGCUUUUUGUUUCAUUUGUCUUUUGUAUUUUUUUUUUGUUUCAAUUUCAUUUAGUUCUACUCUGAUCUUAGUUAUUUCCUUUCUUCUGCUGGGAUUGGGUUUGGUUUGUUCUUGUUUCUCUAGUUGCUUGAGGUGUGACCUUAGAAUGUCAGUUUGUGCUCUUUAGGUCUUUUUGAUGUGGGUGUUUACGGAUAGGAACUUUCCUCUAGGCACUGCCUUUGCUGUAUCCCAGAAGUUUUGAUAGGUUGUGUCACUAUUGUUGUUCAGUUCAAAGAAUUUUUAAAUUUCCAUCUUGAUUUCGUUUUUGACCCAAUGAUCAUUUAGGAGCAGGCUAUUUAAUUUUCAUGUCUUUGCAUGGUUUUCAAGGUUCCUUCUGGAGUCAGUUUCCAGUUUUAUUCCACUGUGGUCUGAGAGAGUGCUUGAUAUAAUUUCAAUUUUCUUAGAUAUACUGAGGCUCAUUUUGUGGUCCAUCAUAUGGUCUGUUUUGGAGAAAGUUCCAUACACUGUUGAAUAGAAUGUGUAUUUGUGGUUGUUGGAUGGAAUGUUCUAUAUGUAUCUGUGAAGUCCAUUUGUUCCGAGGUGUAGUUUAAAGCCAUUGUUUCUCUGUUGACUUUCCAUCUUGAUGACCCGUCUGGUGCUGUCAGUGGAGUGUUGAAGUCCCCCACUAUUAUUGUGUUACUGUCUAUCUCAUUUCUUAGGUCUAUUAGUAAUUACUUACAAAUUUGGGAGCUCCAGUGUUAGAUGCAUAUAUGUUUAGUAUUGUGAUAUUUUCCUGUCAGACACGGUCUUUUGCCAUUAUGUAAUGCUCCUCUUUGUCUUUUUUAACAGCUGUUGCUUUAAAGUUUGUUUUGUCUGAUAUAAGAAUAGCUACCCCUACUUGCUUUUGGUGUCCAUUUGCAGCACAAAAUGUCCUUUUCCGUCCCUUUACUUUAAGUUUAUGUGAGUCCUUAUGUGUUAUGUAAGUCUGUUGAAGGCAGCAUAAUCGGUUGGUUAAUUCUUAUCCAUUAUGAAUCUUUUAAGUGGCACAUUUAGGCCAUUUACAUUCAAUGUUAGUAUUGAAAUGUGAGGUACCAUUGCAUUUAUUUAUGCUUUUUAUUGCCUGUGUGCCUUGGUUUUUUGUUCUUUGUUUUUGAUUUUUAAAUUGUAUUUUUCUUUUAUAGGUCCUGUGUUAUGCUUUAAAGAGGUUCUGUUUUGGUGUGUUUCCAGGAAUUGUUUCAAGAUUUAGAGCUCCUUUUAGUAUUUCUUGUAGUGGUGGCUUGGUAGUGACAAAUUCUCUCAUCAUUUGUUUGUCUGGAAAAGACUAUAUUUUUCCUUCAUAUAUGAUGCUUAGUUUCACUGGAUAUAAAAUUCUUGGCUGAUAGUUGUUUUCUUUGAGGAGGUUAAAGAUAGGGUCCCAAUCACUUCCAGCUUGUAGGGUUUCUGCUGAGAAAUAUGCUGUUAAUCUGAUAAGUUUUCCUUUAUAGGUUACCUGGUGCUUUUGUCUCACUGCUCUUCAGAUUCUUUCCUUUGUCUUAACUUUAGAUAACCUGAUGACAAUGUGC